This 690-nucleotide long non-coding RNA is filed under the name Phoenix dactylifera (date palm). RNAcentral's name for it is "long non-coding RNA (PDAC_LNC019378)". The record is from RNAcentral. Lineage: Eukaryota; Viridiplantae; Streptophyta; Magnoliopsida; Arecales; Arecaceae.
UCUCUCUCUCUCUCUCUCUCUCUCUCUCUCUCUCUCUCUUCUCGUUUCUAUACAGCAUCAGGCUUCCAGAAAGCUUUUUAUCAUUUUCACCAUCGGUUCUGAAGCAGACAAAAAGCUUCCACGGGUACAGUGCCUUCUCAUCUUUUUUUUUCCUUUCAUUUUUUAAAUUUAAUUUUCAAGGAACAAGGAAUCUCCAGCUCGCCUUUCUUUUAUUCUUGCUCUAGUGAAAUCAUUAAUGAUGGCAAGUAAGAAAGAAGGCGAUCAUUAAAAGCAAUGAAAGAGAAGGCAAAGAAAGGAAAGAGAAGAAGAAAAAGUUACUUUCUUGUGUUCUUUUUUCGUUUUGUUAAACUCUUUCUUGUCUUCUUUAACAUCUCAGGAUUCCCAUGUUUCCGCAGUAGAGUCCAGCUUUGUCUUGUCGGAAAACAAACAAAAUCCUACUUUCCUUGUAUCCAAGUUUCUUUCUCACAAUAGAGUCCAUUUCUUCGUGGCACCUCAACCUGUUUGUAAGAGACAUAUAUCUACUGCAUAUAUAGUUUUUCUGAAGGUCUCGAAGAAAUCUAAAAGCUAAAACAGUAAUUUCAAUAAAACUGGAAAACAAAAUAAAGCACAUGUAGAACAAUCAAAAUCCUUUUCUUCCUCCCUCCUUCCUUGCCAUUAAGCUCUCUCUCUCUCUCUCUCUCUCUCUCUCUC